GCGGUCGAGGAAGCGGGAAUCAGCGUCGGGAGAGAGAGCGCCGUUGAUUCUGUCAUCGAAUUCAGAACUGAUUUUGUGGGAGAGUUUCUUCGCGGCGUAGACGGUAACCGGAGAAUAGAGGCGGCGGGAGUAGCAAGAAGAAAACCGGAGCGACGGCGAAAAAGAAGAACAUGGAGUGAAA
Arabidopsis thaliana (thale cress) is the source of this 181-nucleotide non-coding RNA. RefSeq annotates it as other RNA. The transcript has a single exon. NCBI's taxonomy places the organism in Eukaryota, Viridiplantae, Streptophyta, Magnoliopsida, Brassicales, Brassicaceae. The record is from RefSeq.